Molecule: small RNA, 122 nt
Filed under: uncultured Blautia sp.
Lineage: Bacteria; Bacillati; Bacillota; Clostridia; Lachnospirales; Lachnospiraceae
Description: Ribosomal protein L10 leader
Rfam family: Ribosomal protein L10 leader
About the family: This family is a putative r-protein leader autoregulatory structure found in B. subtilis and other low-GC Gram-positive bacteria. It is located in the 5' untranslated regions of mRNAs encoding ribosomal proteins L10 and L12 (rplJ-rplL).
Source: RNAcentral
GAAACUGCCGAAGACAGUAGGUGCUGGAAAGCAUAAGGAUUAAAACGCCUACCGAGGAAAGUACAUUCUUGAAGAAGAUUUGUAUGCCUUGCUGUCCUUUGCAGCAGGGCAUUUUCUUUUCA